This 434-nucleotide ribosomal RNA is filed under the name Enterococcus faecalis. RNAcentral's name for it is "bacterial SSU rRNA". It matches the Rfam family "Bacterial small subunit ribosomal RNA", at positions 109 to 529 of the family's 1533-position model. Lineage: Bacteria; Bacillati; Bacillota; Bacilli; Lactobacillales; Enterococcaceae. The record is from RNAcentral.
AGUAACACGUGGGUAACCUACCCAUCAGAGGGGGAUAACACUUGGAAACAGGUGCUAAUACCGCAUAACAGUUUAUGCCGCAUGGCAUAAGAGUGAAAGGCGCUUUCGGGUGUCGCUGAUGGAUGGACCCGCGGUGCAUUAGCUAGUUGGUGAGGUAACGGCUCACCAAGGCCACGAUGCAUAGCCGACCUGAGAGGGUGAUCGGCCACACUGGGACUGAGACACGGCCCAGACUCCUACGGGAGGCAGCAGUAGGGAAUCUUCGGCAAUGGACGAAAGUCUGACCGAGCAACGCCGCGUGAGUGAAGAAGGUUUUCGGAUCGUAAAACUCUGUUGUUAGAGAAGAACAAGGACGUUAGUAACUGAACGUCCCCUGACGGUAUCUAACCAGAAAGCCACGGCUAACUACGUGCCAGCAGCCGCGGUAAUACGUA